AUUGAACGCUGGCGGCAUGCCUUACACAUGCAAGUCGAACGGCAGCACGGGAGCAAUCCUGGUGGCGAGUGGCGAACGGGUGAGUAAUAUAUCGGAACGUGCCCAGUCGUGGGGGAUAACGUAGCGAAAGCUACGCUAAUACCGCAUACGAUCUAUGGAUGAAAGCGGGGGAUCGCAAGACCUCGCGCGAUUGGAGCGGCCGAUAUCAGAUUAGGUAGUUGGUGAGGUAAAGGCUCACCAAGCCGACGAUCUGUAGCUGGUCUGAGAGGACGACCAGCCACACUGGGACUGAGACACGGCCCAGACUCCUACGGGAGGCAGCAGUGGGGGAAUUUUUGGACAAUGGGCGCAAGCCUGAUCCAGCAAUGCCGCGUGC
Molecule: ribosomal RNA, 376 nt
Filed under: uncultured bacterium
Lineage: Bacteria
Description: bacterial SSU rRNA
Rfam family: Bacterial small subunit ribosomal RNA
Source: RNAcentral